Molecule: ribosomal RNA, 869 nt
Filed under: Aspergillus nidulans
Lineage: Eukaryota; Fungi; Ascomycota; Eurotiomycetes; Eurotiales; Aspergillaceae
Description: SSU rRNA
Rfam family: Eukaryotic small subunit ribosomal RNA
Source: RNAcentral
GCUCUAGUAUAUGCGAUCUAUACUGUGAGACUGCGAAUGGCUCAUUAAAUCAGUUAUCGUUUAUUUGAUAGUACCUUACUACAUGGAUACCUGUGGUAAUUCUAGAGCUAAUACAUGCUAAAAACCCCGACUUCGGGAGGGGUGUAUUUAUUAAAUAAAAAACCAAUGCCCCUCGGGGCUCCUUGGUGAUUCAUAAUAACUUAACGAAUCGCAUGGCCUUGCGCCGGCGAUGGUUCAUUCAAAUUUCUGCCCUAUCAACUUUCGAUGGUAGGAUAGUGGCCUACCAUGGUGGCAACGGGUAACGGGGAAUUAGGGUUCGAUUCCGGAGAGGGAGCCUGAGAAACGGCUACCACAUCCAAGGAAGGCAGCAGGCGCGCAAAUUACCCAAUCCCGACACGGGGAGGUAGUGACAAUAAAUACUGAUACGGGGCUCUUUUGGGUCUCGUAAUUGGAAUGAGAACAAUUUAAAUCCCUUAACGAGGAACAAUUGGAGGGCAAGUCUGGUGCCAGCAGCCGCGGUAAUUCCAGCUCCAAUAGCGUAUAUUAAAGUUGUUGCAGUUAAAAAGCUCGUAGUUGAACCUUGGGUCUGGCUGGCCGGUCCGCCUCACCGCGAGUACUGGUCCGGCUGGACCUUUCCUUCUGGGGAACCCCAUGGCCUUCACUGGCUGUGGGGGGGAACCAGGACUUUUACUGUGAAAAAAUUAGAGUGUUCAAAGCAGCCUUUGCUCGGAUACAUUAGCAUGGAAUAAUAGAAUAGGACGUGCGGGUUCUAUUUUGUUGGUUUCUAUGACCGCCGUAAUGAUUAAUAGGGAUAGUCGGGGGCGUCAGUAUUCAGCUGUCAGAGGUGACAUUCUUGGCAUUUGCUGAGA